Molecule: long non-coding RNA, 899 nt
Organism: Podarcis raffonei (Aeolian wall lizard)
Lineage: Eukaryota; Metazoa; Chordata; Lepidosauria; Squamata; Lacertidae
Exons: 2
Source: RefSeq, a predicted model, not a curated record
UAGGACUCAAAUCCAAGUUUCAGCCACUUCAGCCUUCCUUGCCUGGUCUGAGGAGUGACAGUUGGAGAAGUGGUCUGAGGAGUGACAGUUGGAGAACUAGGCCUCAAACUUUCCUGGCCUAAAAGAGCAGUGCCUUGAGACCACGCAUGGACCCCCUGCUUCGGUCACAGCUGAUACAGAAAAGCAUCAGGAAGGUCUUUCAAUUGCCCUCAUUACAGUUUGCAAAGGUCAAAGCCGGGAGUUCCGUGCCAGCAACACAGAGCCAUGUGACUGGACCUUCUUAAGGACAUAAGUAGAGCCCAGUUGGAUCAGGCCAAUGUGGAAACCUGGAGAACUGAUCUCAAGAUUGGAAAAAUGAGAAACUGAGAAAAAUGGAAGCUUACCAAUUCACCCUUCCAUAAGGGCACAAGAGUCAAAGGAAUAUAAUCAACUUUACAAUACUCUACUCAUGAGCAAGAAUGCUUAUGAAUGGAACUUCUGCCUCCCCCUCGCCCGGUGUCACCUUGGUGGGGAUUGGUCUGUUGACAAGGGGUAGCCAAAGUGCAAUGUUCCCCCUGUCAAGAUAGGGUCAUUUAUCAUGUCGGUCAUUAUGACUUUUGAAUACACUAGCCCUCAUGGAUGGCUGUGUUUGAGACUAAUGAGCAAUUUGUUCUCCAUUGCUAAAUGGUUUGGAAAUGUUCAUCUCAUCUCUAAUGAGUUGUGGAGAUGAAUAAGGGGUUGACCUUUUGUUUUUGUUUUGUUCUUUGCUUGUUUUCUUCUCUUUCGCAAAGAGUAGGAUGGCGUUGGCAAUGAGGGGUCGGGCAGCUUGUAACAUCAUCUUGCAGGCAUUGUACAGAAGUGUGUUCUUUCAACCAUGUCUUAAAUAACUUUUGAGUUAAAAAAAUAAAGUGCCAAAUCUA